GUUGGAUCCUUGCAGUUUCAUCACACUCGUGAAUCGUGCAUGCACGGUCGUGGGCACGUACGUACGUCUAGUCCGUCGAUGGUGGAGGUGCAAGGAACUAUGGCACGGCCGGCACACCGGGAACAGACGGCGUCGGCGGCAGUGGCACCUUGGGCACGCCAGGAACGGACGGCAUCGGAGGCAAUGGCACCUUGGGCAGGUCGGGGACGGACGGCAUCGGCGGCAGUGGCACCUUGGGCAGGUCGGGGAUGGACGGCAUAGGCGGCAGCGGCACGUUAGGCACGCCGGGGACGGACGGCAUCGGCAACGCCGGCACGCCCGGCACUGUGGGAACCAUCGGCACGCUCGGCGCAGUGGGCACGGUCGGCACAGCGGCGCCGGGUACUGCCGGCAGCGGCACCGUCGGCACGCCUGGCACAGUGGGAACCGCCGGGAUGGUUGGCACGGCGGCUCCAGGUACUGGUACCGCCGGCACACCUGGCACCGUGGGUAUUGCCGGUACGCCGGGCACGGUGGGAACUGUGGGCGCCGUCG
RNAcentral lists this long non-coding RNA (534 nucleotides) under Hordeum vulgare. RNAcentral's name for it is "long non-coding RNA (HVUL_LNC013992)". Lineage: Eukaryota; Viridiplantae; Streptophyta; Magnoliopsida; Poales; Poaceae. The record is from RNAcentral.